GUCACAGCCAUAUCACCUUGCAGCCUAAGACCGGUUACUCACUGAAGCUAAGAAGGGCUGAGGCUAGUCAAUACCUGGAUGGGAGAUCACAUGGGGAAACUAGGUUGCUGCUGAAA
Molecule: ribosomal RNA, 116 nt
Organism: Danio rerio (zebrafish)
Lineage: Eukaryota; Metazoa; Chordata; Actinopteri; Cypriniformes; Danionidae
Source: Ensembl